Molecule: ribosomal RNA, 253 nt
Filed under: uncultured bacterium
Lineage: Bacteria
Description: partial 16S ribosomal RNA
Rfam family: Bacterial small subunit ribosomal RNA
Source: RNAcentral
UACGGAGACUGCAAGCGUUAUUCGGAUUCACUGGGCGUAAAGGGUGCGCAGGCGGCCGUGUGUGUGAGGCGUGAAAGCCCGGGGCUUAACCCCGGAAUUGCACCUCAAACUACACGGCUAGAGCAUUGGAGAGGGUAGCAGAAUUCAUGGUGUAGCAGUGAAAUGCGUAGAUAUCAUGAGGAAUACCAGAGGCGAAGGCGGCUACCUGGACAAUUGCUGACGCUCAGGCACGAAAGCGUGGGGAGCAAAAGGG